GGAGUUAAGUGUUUCUGCAGUUGUGAGGGGAGCAAUCAGGGUUGGUUCCAUAAACAAUCCAAACCAAGGAAGAAGCACAGAACCAAAUGUGCCCUUGGAAUGAGAUAUAAAUAAUGAACAGCUACCUUAUGGAUAAACAAAUGAUGUUGGCACGCAUAAAUAGCACACUGUGCAGAUGGGCUUGGUUUUUCUUCAGUAGACUUGAGAGCAACAAGUCUGGCACAUCGGCUGCUGCUUUGGAUUUUGUGAGAUCCAUUGGGAUCUGAGGUCUUGCACCCCAUGCAUUUGGAGUUCCUGCUUAUUCCCACAUGAAUUCUCCAGAUGAGGAGAAGCAGGAACUUAUAUGUCACACCAACACACACACACCAUGGCAAGCCUUGGAAGAGAAGACCAGUGCUGGCUGCACCUUCAUCCAAAAGCUGAAGGAAGUCCUUUUUCUGCUUGAUUUGAGAGCCUGGGCAAGGGAAGAGGAAAUUCUGCAAAGGGCCCCAGCACUGCCUCUGCUCAGACCUCAUUAUUCCCGUGUAGAGACCUGUCUGGGAGCCUCCUUCUCCCUCAGAAAGACCUCUGGAAAGUUCAAAGUGUCAAGAAAAUUGUUGCAGAACUGUGAUAAGACAUGACGUUCAAGCAGUGAAGACUUCCAUAACUCUGGCUAAAUGCCUUAUUAAUCUAACAUGUGUCAGUAAGAUUUUCUGUGUGUUAGGAUGAUGCCUGGCAGGAGCAUAGGAUCUUCUGUGUGAGCUGUAGUUUGGGAAGAGGCAGGCAGAGUAUUCUUCUCCUGACAGAAAAUUAGUAUUUCGUGUGCACUGAGCUGUACUGUGAAGUACCUGUAUACAGCCCUGGGAUGUGAUGGGAGGGCUCCCAAAUGGAAUAAUGUACACCAGUAUUUUGACCACACUUGCCACUUCCCAGCUUCCCUCAUGACUAACUUUUAUAUGGUAUUUUCUCCUCUUAUUGUUUGAUUUGUCAUCAACAGUUUUGUUGCAUUUUGUUCCCUUUUUGCUCUUUCCUUGUCCUUUGCUUCCUCUCUAGACUUGUUUCUAACAGAUGUUUAUUUGUGCUGCCACAUUUUGGGUGGGUGGUUCUGUGUCCCACCACAGCAGAGCCAUGUGGAACUUCAAGUACUUGAACAUGAGGUUCUGCUCUAAGCUUAUCAUGCAGUGAAAACCAGCCUUACAGUGUUAGUGUCAGAUCAGAAAUAAAACUAAAGUAAAAAAUCACAAGGCAUUUUUGGCAUAACCUGAAUAAAUUUGCAGUUACAUAAGACCUGUGAGUAUCCUGUAAAUAUUCUUCUCACCUUGAAAAGAAGAUUGCACCUGUUCCUCCUUAUCUUGCAAUGUAUUUGGUUCUUUUCCCACCUUCUGCUUCUUUCCUUAUCUGAGCAUGCUUUUUCCUUUUCCUUGACACAGCAUUAUCUUGAGGCUUUUCUUCACAUAAGAAAUGUAACAAAAAAUAUGAAAACCAUCUGACUUGAACACAGAGGUACCCAGAAACUUCAUGCCAAAUUUCAGUUUUUUCAAGACAAAUUACAAAAAUGCUCAAAUCUUGGUAACUAUAGCAGCACAAACACCACCACUACAAUAUGCCGCAACAGAUUGUUCAUAUGUCAUUAUUUUUCCAAAGUUCCUUGGCAAACGUUUCCAUCAGUAAACAAGUCAAGUGAAAGAAUUGUAAAAUGGCCAGCAAAACCACUCAGAUCUUCUCUAGGUAGUGAAAUAAAAUUCUGCUUCUUAUCACUAUUGUUGUGUUGCUCAGCCCAUCUUCCUUCACCUGUGCUGACAGACUACAGUUGUCAUUGUUUCUGCCUUCCCAAUGAGGCUUUUGCCUGUCAUGUCACCAUCCUCUUUAUGCUGCAAGUUUGUCAAAGCAAUGUUAUGUCUAAAUGUUGGGUCACAUUCUCACCUGGGGAGAAAACGUACACAGAUCCAUUAACUUUGUCAGAAAAAUGACAAAUUACACAAACUGCUGAGCUGGCACUGCGUGUUGUAUGCAGCAUGGAAAGCGUCAAUGGAACUGAAAAAAACAUUAAUAGUGCCAGUUCACUAACAAAAUGAUGAUUCAUAUUUUUCCCAUAAUCUAUUUUUCUUUGCUGCUUAAUAUGCUGGUAUCAUCAGAAUUGAUUGUUUAAUGAAAUGCCUGGGGAAUUGGCCAAUUUAUGCUGCAUCUUAAUGAUAGGCAAAUGCUAAAGGUUUGGGAGUUCUUGAUUGAUUAUUACUGGAAUAAUC
Molecule: long non-coding RNA, 2225 nt
Organism: Passer domesticus (house sparrow)
Lineage: Eukaryota; Metazoa; Chordata; Aves; Passeriformes; Passeridae
Exons: 4
Source: RefSeq, a predicted model, not a curated record